ACGGAAGGCAGCAGUGGGGAAUAUUGGGCAAUGGGCGAAAGCCUGACCCAGCGACGCCGCGUGAAGGAAGAAGGUCUUCGGAUUGUAAACUUCUUUUAUAUGGGACGAAACAAAUGACGGUACCAUAUGAAUAAGCCACGGCUAACUACGUGCCAGCAGCCGCGGUAAUACGUAGGUGGCGAGCGUUAUCCGGAUUUACUGGGUGUAAAGGGUGUGUAGGCGGGAUUGCAAGUCAGUUGUGAAAACUAUGGGCUUAACUCAUAGCCUGCAUUUGAAACUGCAGUUCUUGAGGGUCGGAGGGGUUACUGGAAUUCCCGGUGUAGCGGUGAAAUGCGCAGAUAUCGGGAGGAACACCGGUGGCGAAGGCGAGUAACUGGACGAUACCUGACGCUGAGACACGAAAGUGUGGGGAGCAAACAGGAUUAGAUACCCUGGUA
Molecule: ribosomal RNA, 437 nt
Filed under: uncultured Oscillospiraceae bacterium
Lineage: Bacteria; Bacillati; Bacillota; Clostridia; Eubacteriales; Oscillospiraceae
Description: bacterial SSU rRNA
Rfam family: Bacterial small subunit ribosomal RNA
Source: RNAcentral